CAUUUUGAAACGUUCCCUGAAUAUUUCUGUCCCUGUGUUGGUGGUGCUAAAUAUGUGUAUGCGACCAAUAACAUUCGAUUUGGUUUGAUGUAUUAUUGGAUAUUGGAGACAUUCUGCGUUGGUAUCCUUUCUCAACAUAGUGUUGGAAUAUAUCCAUUAUAGCCUGAGCCUGUGAUAUCUGAGAGCUUGACCAGUGUCUUUCUUCGGCUGUCAAGGGAGCACUGCAUGCAAACCUGGAAAGACUGCACAGCUGGGGUCCACAGACAGAGAGAAUUAAUUAAGACAGAAUGAAAAGACUCGUGAGUAUUUUGCCUGCACAUAUAGCCUAAGCUUUCUGGUCAUUUGAAGGUGACGCUUACCCCUCUACACCGAUUAUAGCCCACUCUUGGGUUUCAUUGUGUGAUUUGCAGGGGUGCCCGAAAAAUAUCCUUAUCUUCAAACAAGGCACUGAAAUGUAGCCUAUAAAUAAAGCACUGCACCUGCAGGUACCAUAUUUCGCUUUUACCCGGGUAAGGUUUAUUGGAAAGGUUUGAACUGGUCUGGACGCGUUCACUGGAAGAUAACGGGGAUGCCACGGUUACGCGCAGAAGCCGCUCGAGGAAGAGACAGGUGCGGCAGAGGGGAUUGGUAGCUUAAUAGCCGAUUCUCAUCCAGGCAUUGUGAUUACCAAGAACCAGAGAGAGCUUGGUGCCCUGCUCCACCCUUUGUGUUGAUUUCAGACGUAGAGGAAAACCUGUCUGCAUACGAGAGGACGACUGGCAACAGACCAGACAUCGCCUGCAUACCUGUCCAUCUCGCACAGUGAAUGUGCCCGUGCUGUGCUGCCAUGACAACCAUGGCCCCUCCCCUCACGUUUCUCCUCCUUCUCCUCCGAUUGGCUCACAGUUCUUUCCCAGAGGAGCCCGGUCCGCUCAGCCUACUCCCUUAGAGGUGGUGAGGAGGUAUCCUGUGUUUGUGGGUAGAGCUCAUCAUUCCUCUCAGAGACAGGAGUGCACAUUCAGACAGUGCUCCAGGUCAACCGCACUCUCUACAUAGG
Salvelinus sp. IW2-2015 is the source of this 1036-nucleotide non-coding RNA. Lineage: Eukaryota; Metazoa; Chordata; Actinopteri; Salmoniformes; Salmonidae. The record is from RefSeq and is a predicted model, not a curated record.